This is a long non-coding RNA of Bos taurus (domestic cattle), 1104 nucleotides long. The record is from Ensembl. Lineage: Eukaryota; Metazoa; Chordata; Mammalia; Artiodactyla; Bovidae.
GGUUCCCUUACCCUACUGCUGUCCACCAGGGUGCCCUUUCCCAAUAAAAUCUCUAGCUUUGUCAGCACAUGUGUCUCCUCGGAGUCCCACUGUUAGACAAGAGCCCAGUUUCGGGCCCUGGAAGGGGUCCGCCUUCCUGCAACAAUAGGGUGGCAGAGUCCAACAGGACUGAAGUGACCAUGCAGGCACACAUGAUUUUGUUUAAGUGGGUUAAUCUUUAACGUGAAAUGAAAUAUAUUGAUAGGAUAAAACGAAAGGUGUGAAACAGUGUAAGUCUAAAACAAGGCCAAGCAAGAAACGGAAUUAUCAUAAUCCAUGGUCAGAAGGUUGAUUAGAAACGCCUUUGCCUUCAAGAAUUAGAUUGUCUGCUGAAUGGAAGUUUUAGACCUUUUAACAAUGGCGAGACAGCGGAGUGUGGUGUUAAAACCAUCUUGAUAAUCAGAAGGCUUAGAAAGGCUUAAAAGAACCUUCAGCACAAAGAGUAAUUUUUUUUUAACCUUCCUCGCCUCCCGCAAUUAAUGCCGUUUAAUACACUGUCCAUUGUUUUUAAAGGGAAAAUAUGCCUACAGCAGCUCUUAAUGGCAUGCGCCACAGACGUUUUCUUUAAAAAAAAAAAAAAAAGCGCAAAUGUUUCAUAUGUCAUUCCAUCUCAAACCCUUUCUAAAACAUGGGGCGCUUUCGUCUUUCACGAAAGCCAGGACUUCGAGGCAGAAGAAUCAUUAUGGUUACUCUACAUCCUCUUGAAAAUCAGCAAUUUCAGUGCUAAAAACAGAGAAGCGACUGGCUUUUUCUAACUUCAAGUGAUUUCCAAAAGCGAUCUGAGACAAUUUUCAGUGUUUUCAAUUAGGCAGUGGCUCAUUUUUACAAUUCACUUCACCAGAGGCCUUCACCUCCCAGCCACACACGAAGCCCCUAGACCCUCCUGCGGCCACGACUGCCUCCGCGCAGCCUAAAGGGGGCCGGGCGCGCUUUUCUGGGCUGCGGCUUGCACAGCUUCGCCCCCCUCCUCUGCUGCCACAGCUAGAGCGGUCAGCCAACGGCCGCCUUCCGUUGUACGCAUCGUUCCGCCUUCCAGUUCCACCGAAGCCAAUGGAAAGAGAAUCC